RNAcentral lists this transfer RNA (73 nucleotides) under Euryarchaeota archaeon ADurb.BinA087. RNAcentral describes it as "tRNA-Gly". Lineage: Archaea; Methanobacteriati; Methanobacteriota. The record is from RNAcentral.
GGAAGGGGUGGGGAAGAUCCCUUCUGCCUUUCCCGAGGGGAGCUCCGGAGGUUCCAGUUCUCCUGCCUUUCAC